This 508-nucleotide ribosomal RNA is filed under the name uncultured bacterium. RNAcentral describes it as "bacterial SSU rRNA". It matches the Rfam family "Bacterial small subunit ribosomal RNA", at positions 18 to 518 of the family's 1533-position model. The record is from RNAcentral.
CCUGGCUCAGGAUGAACGCUAGCGGCAGGCUUAACACAUGCAAGUCGAGGGGCAUCGGGAGUAGCAAUACUUGCCGGCGACCGGCGCAAGGGUGCGUAACGCGUGAGCAACAUGCCCGUAUCAGGGGGAUAAUCCAUGGAAACGUGGUCUAAUACCCCAUAGUAAUUAUGUAAGGCAUCUUAUAUAAUUUAAAGCUUUGGUGGAUACGGAUUGGCUCGCGUGACAUUAGCUGGAUGGUAAGGUAACGGCUUACCAUGGCUACGAUGUCUAGGGGUUCUGAGAGGAAGGUCCCCCCACACUGGAACUGAGACACGGUCCAGACUCCUACGGGAGGCAGCAGUGAGGAAUAUUGGACAAUGGAUGGAAAUCUGAUCCAGCCAUGCCGCGUGCAGGAAAAGACGGCCCUAUGGGUUGUAAACUGCUUUUGUAUGGGAGCAAUAAGGGCUACGUGUAGUCCGAUGAGAGUACCAUACGAAUAAGCACCGGCUAACUCCGUGCCAGCCGCUGC